UGGCUCAGGAUGAACGCUAGCGACAGGCUUAACACAUGCAAGUCGAGGGGCAGCACAGGUAGCAAUACCGGGUGGCGACCGGCGCACGGGUGAGUAACGCGUAUGCAACUUACCUAUCAGAGGGGGAUAACCCGGCGAAAGUCGGACUAAUACCGCAUGAAGCAGGGGCCCCGCAUGGGGAUAUUUGCUAAAGAUUCAUCGCUGAUAGAUAGGCAUGCGUUCCAUUAGGCAGUUGGCGGGGUAACGGCCCACCAAACCGACGAUGGAUAGGGGUUCUGAGAGGAAGGUCCCCCACAUUGGUACUGAGACACGGACCAAACUCCUACGGGAGGCAGCAGUGAGGAAUAUUGGUCAAUGGCCGAGAGGCUGAACCAGCCAAGUCGCGUGAGGGAUGAAGGUUCUAUGGAUCGUAAACCUCUUUUAUAAGGGAAUAAAGUGCGGGACGUGUCCCGUUUUGUAUGUACCUUAUGAAUAAGGAUCGGCUAACUCCGUGCCAGCAGCCGCGGUAAUACGGAGGAUCCGAGCGUUAUCCGGAUUUAUUGGGUUUAAAGGGUGCGUAGGCGGCCUUUUAAGUCAGCGGUGAAAGUCUGUGGCUCAACCAUAGAAUUGCCGUUGAAACUGGGGGGCUUGAGUAUGUUUGAGGCAGGCGGAAUGCGUGGUGUAGCGGUGAAAUGCAUAGAUAUCACGCAGAACCCCGAUUGCGAAGGCAGCCUGCCAAGCCAUGACUGACGCUGAUGCACGAAAGCGUGGGGAUCAAAGAGGAUUAGAUACCCUGGUAGUCCACGCAGUAAACGAUGAUCACUAGCUGUUUGCGAUACACUGUAAGCGGCACAGCGAAAGCGUUAAGUGAUCCACCUGGGGAGUACGCCGGCAACGGUGAAACUCAAAGGAAUUGACGGGGGCCCGCACAAGCGGAGGAACAUGUGGUUUAAUUCGAUGAUACGCGAGGAACCUUACCCGGGUUUGAACGCAUUCGGACCGAGGUGGAAACACCUUUUCUAGCAAUAGCCGUUUGCGAGGUGCUGCAUGGUUGUCGUCAGCUCGUGCCGUGAGGUGUCGGCUUAAGUGCCAUAACGAGCGCAACCCUUGCCACUAGUUACUAACAGGUAAAGCUGAGGACUCUGGUGGGACUGCCAGCGUAAGCUGCGAGGAAGGCGGGGAGGACGUCAAAUCAGCACGGCCCUUACAUCCGGGGCGACACACGUGUUACAAUGGCGUGGACAAAGGGAGGCCACCUGGUGACAGGGAGCGAAUCCCCAAACCACGUCUCAGUUCGGAUCGGAGUCUGCAACCCGACUCCGUGAAGCUGGAUUCGCUAGUAAUCGCGCAUCAGCCAUGGCGCGGUGAAUA
RNAcentral lists this ribosomal RNA (1350 nucleotides) under uncultured bacterium. RNAcentral describes it as "16S ribosomal RNA". It matches the Rfam family "Bacterial small subunit ribosomal RNA", at positions 20 to 1368 of the family's 1533-position model. The record is from RNAcentral.